AUCUUGAUAAAUAGACACCCUAUACUACAUCUAUAUAUACUCACCAUUCGCCACUAUUUAGUUUCAUAAAAAAAACAUUGCACUCAAGAGAAAAAAAAAAAGAUACAAAGAAAAAGAGACUAACGAUAUGGCGGCAACAAAGAUGGUGAAGCUAGCAAUCUUUAUAGCAUUUUUAAUCACUGUUUCUCAUAUUUGCCAAGUGGCGGAGGCGAGAUACAAAGUAAUCAACUUCAGGUGCGAGAAAGCAGAGGAUUGUGCAGCGAAGCUGAAAGAUUUGUGUGGAAAUUAUGAUUGUGUUGAUAACAAAUGCAGAUGUGUGUCGGAAUUUUUGGACCACAAAACAAACUCCGUCGACAGAAACGGUCCAUAGGCUUCAGUUAUAUAUUUGGCAAAUUCUAAGCCUAUGAUCUCAUAUAAUGUUAUGUGUCGAUUAUAAUAAAAUGGUUAUAUAUAGACCUCCAUUCGAGA
Long non-coding RNA from Tarenaya hassleriana, 468 nucleotides. RefSeq lists it as uncharacterized. The record is from RefSeq and is a predicted model, not a curated record. Lineage: Eukaryota; Viridiplantae; Streptophyta; Magnoliopsida; Brassicales; Cleomaceae. The transcript has 2 exons.